UACGUAGGGUGCAAGCGUUGUCCGGAAUUAUUGGGCGUAAAGAGCUCGUAGGCGGUUUGUUGCGUCGGCUGUGAAAUCCCGAGGCUCAACCUCGGGUCUGCAGUCGAUACGAGCAAACUAGAGUGUUGCAGGGGAGACUGGAAUUCCUGGUGUAGCGGUGAAAUGCGUAGAUAUCAGGAGGAACACCGGUGGCGAAGGCGGGUCUCUGGGCCGAUACUGACGCUGAGGAGCGAAAGCGUGGGGAGCGAACAGG
This 253-nucleotide ribosomal RNA is filed under the name uncultured bacterium. Its description in RNAcentral is "partial 16S ribosomal RNA". It matches the Rfam family "Bacterial small subunit ribosomal RNA", at positions 524 to 776 of the family's 1533-position model. The record is from RNAcentral.